This 58-nucleotide microRNA precursor is filed under the name Cebus imitator (Panamanian white-faced capuchin). Lineage: Eukaryota; Metazoa; Chordata; Mammalia; Primates; Cebidae. The record is from RNAcentral.
UGGGCUAGGGGAGAUGACUGGGUAGAAAGCAUUCUAUUCAUUUGCCUCCCAGCCUACA